UACAUACUAGCCUAAUUGGAAAAGGCACUUGACUGAUAAUCAAGCUACUACAGGUUCAAAUCCUGUGUGUG
This 71-nucleotide transfer RNA is filed under the name Dendronalium phyllosphericum CENA369. RNAcentral's name for it is "tRNA-Ile". It matches the Rfam family "tRNA". From Rfam's summary of the family: Transfer RNA (tRNA) molecules are approximately 80 nucleotides in length. Their secondary structure includes four short double-helical elements and three loops (D, anti-codon, and T loops). Lineage: Bacteria; Bacillati; Cyanobacteriota; Cyanophyceae; Nostocales; Nostocaceae. The record is from RNAcentral.